UACGUAGGGGGCAAGCGUUGUCCGGAAUUAUUGGGCGUAAAGGGCGCGUAGGCGGAUCGUUAAGUCCGGUGUGAAAGAUCAGGGCUCAACCCUGAGAGUGCAUCGGAAACUGAAGAUCUUGAGGACAGGAGAGGAAAGUGGAAUUCCACGUGUAGCGGUGAAAUGCGUAGAUAUGUGGAGGAACACCAGUGGCGAAGGCGACUUUCUGGACUGUAACUGACGCUGAGGCGCGAAAGCGUGGGGAGCAAACAGG
This 253-nucleotide ribosomal RNA is filed under the name uncultured bacterium. RNAcentral's name for it is "partial 16S ribosomal RNA". It matches the Rfam family "Bacterial small subunit ribosomal RNA", at positions 524 to 776 of the family's 1533-position model. The record is from RNAcentral.